AUUGCGAAGAUUAUAGCUAAGAUGAUGGCUUCGCGUCUCGCACCACACAUGCAAAGUCUUGUCUCAAAUGCUCAAAGCGCUUUUAUCAAGACGAGGAGCAUACAUGAUAAUUUCAUGUAUGUGAGAGUGUUGGCGAGAAAGUUGCAUCGCAACAAGACCCCGACUUUGCUCUUUAGCUCAAUAUCAAGAAAGCUUUCGACUCUAUGA
RNAcentral lists this ribosomal RNA (207 nucleotides) under Triticum aestivum (bread wheat). RNAcentral describes it as "partial small subunit ribosomal RNA". The record is from RNAcentral. Lineage: Eukaryota; Viridiplantae; Streptophyta; Magnoliopsida; Poales; Poaceae.